Molecule: ribosomal RNA, 464 nt
Filed under: uncultured bacterium
Lineage: Bacteria
Description: partial 16S ribosomal RNA
Rfam family: Bacterial small subunit ribosomal RNA
Source: RNAcentral
CCUACGGGAGGCUGCAGUAGGGAAUCUUCCACAAUGGGCGAAAGCCUGAUGGAGCAACGCCGCGUGGGUGAAGAAGGUCUUCGGAUCGUAAAACCCUGUUGUUAGAGAAGAAAGUGCGUGAGAGUAACUGUUCACGUUUCGACGGUAUCUAACCAGAAAGCCACGGCUAACUACGUGCCAGCAGCCGCGGUAAUACGUAGGUGGCAAGCGUUAUCCGGAUUUAUUGGGCGUAAAGGGAACGCAGGCGGUCUUUUAAGUCUGAUGUGAAAGCCUUCGGCUUAACCGGAGUAGUGCAUUGGAAACUGGGAGACGUGAGUGCAGAAGAGGAGAGUGGAACUCCAUGUGUAGCGGUGAAAUGCGUAGAUAUAUGGAAGAACACCAGUGGCGAAAGCGGCUCUCUGGUCUGUAACUGACGCUGAGGUUCGAAAGCGUGGGUAGCAAACAGGAUUAGAUACCCCUGUAGU